This 567-nucleotide ribosomal RNA is filed under the name bacterium RBM-A22. RNAcentral's name for it is "bacterial SSU rRNA". It matches the Rfam family "Bacterial small subunit ribosomal RNA", at positions 73 to 636 of the family's 1533-position model. The record is from RNAcentral.
GAAGAGCUUGCUCUUCGAUUCAGCGGCGGACGGGUGAGUAAUGCCUAGGAAUCUGCCUGGUAGUGGGGGACAACGUUUCGAAAGGAACGCUAAUACCGCAUACGUCCUACGGGAGAAAGCAGGGGACCUUCGGGCCUUGCGCUAUCAGAUGAGCCUAGGUCGGAUUAGCUAGUUGGUGGGGUAAUGGCUCACCAAGGCGACGAUCCGUAACUGGUCUGAGAGGAUGAUCAAUCACACUGGAACUGAGACACGGUCCAGACUCCUACGGGAGGCAGCAGUGGGGAAUAUUGGACAAUGGGCGAAAGCCUGAUCCAGCCAUGCCGCGUGUGUGAAGAAGGUCUUCGGAUUGUAAAGCACUUUAAGUUGGGAGGAAGGGCAGUAAGCGAAUACCUUGCUGUUUUGACGUUACCGACAGAAUAAGCACAGGCUAACUCUGUGCCAGCAGCCGCGGUAAUACAGAGGGUGCAAGCGUUAAUCGGAAUUACUGGGCGUAAAGCGCGCGUAGGUGGUUUGUUAAGUUGAAUGUGAAAGCCCCGGGCUCAACCUGGGAACUGCAUCCAAAACUGG